GUAGGUGGCAAGCGUUGUCCGGAAUUACUGGGCGUAAAGCGCGCGCAGGCGGUUCUUUAAGUCUGAUGUGAAAGCCCACGGCUCAACCGUGGAGGGUCAUUGGAAACUGGAGAACUUGAGUACAGAAGAGGAAGGCGGAAUUCCACGUGUAGCGGUGAAAUGCGUAGAGAUGUGGAGGAACACCAGUGGCGAAGGCGGCUUUCUGGUCUGUAACUGACGCUGAGGCGCGAAAGCGUGGGGAGCAAACAGGGAUUAGAUACCCUGGUAGUCCACGCCGUAAACGAUGAGUGCUAAGUGUUAGGGGGUUUCCGCCCCCUUAGUGCUGCAGCUAACGCAUUAAGCACUCCGCCUGGGGAGUACGGCCGCAAGGCUG
This 373-nucleotide ribosomal RNA is filed under the name uncultured organism. RNAcentral's name for it is "partial 16S ribosomal RNA". It matches the Rfam family "Bacterial small subunit ribosomal RNA", at positions 527 to 896 of the family's 1533-position model. The record is from RNAcentral.